GCCAGGCUAACUCUGUGCCAGCAGCCGCGGUAAUACAGAGGGUGCAAGCGUUAAUCGGAUUUACUGGGCGUAACAGCGCGCGUAGGCGGCUAAUUAAGUCAAAUGUGAAAUCCCCGAGCUUAACUUGGGAAUUGCAUUCGAUACUGGUUAGCUAGAGUGUGGGAGAGGAUGGUAGAAUUCCAGGUGUAGCGGUGAAAUGCGUAGAGAUCUGGAGGAAUACCGAUGGCGAAGGCAGCCAUCUGGCCUAACACUGACGCUGAGGUGCGAAAGCAUGGGGAGCAAACAGGAUUAGAUACCCUGGUAGUCCAUGCCGUAAACGAUGUCUACUAGCCGUUGGGGCCUUUGAGGCUUUAGUGGCGCAGCUAACGCGAUAAGUAGACCGCCUGGGGAGUACGGUCGCAAGACUAAAACUCAAAUGAAUUGACGGGGGCCCGCACAAGCGGUGGAGCAUGUGGUUUAAUUCGAUGCAACGCGAAGAACCUUACCUGGCCUUGACAUAGUAAGAACUUUCCAGAGAUGGAUUGGUGCCUUCGGGAACUUACAUACAGGUGCUGCAUGGCUGUCGUCAGCUCGUGUCGUGAGAUGUUGGGGUAA
RNAcentral lists this ribosomal RNA (594 nucleotides) under uncultured bacterium. RNAcentral describes it as "bacterial SSU rRNA". It matches the Rfam family "Bacterial small subunit ribosomal RNA", at positions 492 to 1083 of the family's 1533-position model. The record is from RNAcentral.